UACGGGGGGGGCAAGCGUUGUUCGGAAUUACUGGGCGUAAAGGGCUCGUAGGUGGCCAACUAAGUCAGACGUGAAAUCCCUCGGCUUAACCGGGGAACUGCGUCUGAUACUGGAUGGCUUGAGUUUGGGAGAGGGAUGCGGAAUUCCAGGUGUAGCGGUGAAAUGCGUAGAUAUCUGGAGGAACACCGGUGGCGAAGGCGGCAUCCUGGACCAACACUGACACUGAGGAGCGAAAGCUAGGGUAGCAAACGGG
RNAcentral lists this ribosomal RNA (253 nucleotides) under uncultured bacterium. Its description in RNAcentral is "partial 16S ribosomal RNA". It matches the Rfam family "Bacterial small subunit ribosomal RNA", at positions 524 to 776 of the family's 1533-position model. The record is from RNAcentral.